CUCCCCUGGUCCGUCCAUCCGCCCUAAGGAAGAAGUUGACUGGGAAUCCUGCGGGCUUACCCCAUCCCACCCCUCUGCGAAACUCCCCAGGCGACAUAUGUUUGGGUAUCCUGCUGCUGGCCAGUCUUCUCUUGUUCCUCCUUGCCCAGAACAACUAUGUUUCAGCGAGCAUAGCUUCAAAGUUUAGGAGACUGA
Long non-coding RNA from Ornithorhynchus anatinus (platypus), 195 nucleotides. RefSeq lists it as uncharacterized. NCBI's taxonomy places the organism in Eukaryota, Metazoa, Chordata, Mammalia, Monotremata, Ornithorhynchidae. The transcript is spliced from 2 exons. The record is from RefSeq and is a predicted model, not a curated record.